RNAcentral lists this ribosomal RNA (412 nucleotides) under uncultured bacterium. RNAcentral's name for it is "bacterial SSU rRNA". It matches the Rfam family "Bacterial small subunit ribosomal RNA", at positions 505 to 916 of the family's 1533-position model. The record is from RNAcentral.
GUGCCAGCCGCCGCGGUAAUACGUAGAGGGCAAGCGUUGUCCGGAAUUACUGGGCGUAAAGGGUACGCAGGCGGAUAUAUAAGUCAAAUGUGAAAGGCACCGGCUCAACCGGUGAGCGGCAUUUGAAACUGUAUAUCUUGAGUUCAGGAGAGGAGAGCGGAAUUCCUGGUGUAGCGGUGGAAUGCGUAGAUAUCAGGAAGAACACCAGUGGCGAAGGCGGCUCUCUGGCCUGAAACUGACGCUCAGGUACGAAAGCUGGGGGAGCGAACGGGAUUAGAUACCCCGGUAGUCCCAGCCGUAAACGAUGGACACUAGGUGUUGGGGGUUCGAAUCCUUCAGUGCCGAAGCAAACGCAUUAAGUGUCCCGCCUGGGGAGUACGGUCGCAAGACUGAAACUCAAAUAAAUUGACGG